Molecule: non-coding RNA, 1917 nt
Organism: Odocoileus virginianus texanus
Lineage: Eukaryota; Metazoa; Chordata; Mammalia; Artiodactyla; Cervidae
Source: RefSeq, a predicted model, not a curated record
CGGACACAACUGAGUGACUGAACUGAACUGAACUGAACUGUCUGGAUUUGAAUUCUUAUGAUUCAGCAAAAUGUUUAAUGAUGCUUAUUGUUUUGUUACCAGAGAUAGAAUAAUUGAGAGUAAUGAGUGCACUGAUAAGAGUUGAUCACAGGGUUCUCUGAAACCACAGGAGAGGUAUGUAGCCUAAUCUUAGAGAUCAGCAAGUUUUCUAGAGGAAGUGAUUCCUAAACUGAGGUCUGAAACACCAGUAAAAACACCAAUAGCACUCAAUUGUCUGUACCACUCAUCAACUGCAUGCUCAACUUUAUAUGUAACAGCCUUCCUUCAUAAGUUUUCAAGGAAUGUUUUUCAUCGAAUUGGUGCUAGUGAACCCAUUCUUUAUUCAUGAUGCUACACACAGUUCUUUCUGCAAAACAACCCACACCUCCCAUCCAUACCCAGCAUUCUUGGGGAAAUUUAAACAUAAGAUAGAUGCUUUCACCAUGAAAUUAUGAAUUAGCUAUGUGAUUUAAAAACAGAAAUCAAGUGUAUUUCAAGUCAGUAAUUUCACAUUGAAACUGAAAUUUUCCUGAUGGCUGAAACCCAAUCUCAUUGAAUGACUGAAGAUCAUAUUCUUUCCUUGGCUCAUUUUUUAUUUUCACCAGGGCCUUAAUUAGUAGAGUCACUAAUCUCCACGCUUCUUGAUUCCCAUAGGCCCACUCUGUUAUACAGAGUGUGUGUUUGACUGUAUGCUCGGUUACCCAAGUUAUUUUAGAAUCUGUUGAUUGUUACCUUAUGAGGAGAAAAGAAAUGAAUUGCAUUCCAUAUCUUUUGCAUAUUCCAUCUUAAUUUUUGUCUCCCUUCUUUCUCCUCAUAUUGUUACCCUUACUCAGAUAGAUUGUAAACUAGUUGAGGACAGGAACCAUGAACUGCUGCUACACCCAACCCUGACGGCUGAAUGUGCCCUCUUAAUUCCAGGAUCCCAUCCUCACAAAGCAGAUCUCAACAUCCCCCUGGAACCGAGCAAUGUGGCAGCCCUGGAACUCCGUGCAAGAGUUCUUUUGUAUUUUCCCAGUGUUUCCAAGGAUGAAGAAGCUGUUUGGCAGCCAAAGGUGGACAUUUCUCCCAAAGAGGAUAUUGGAAAAGGAAGGACUCCUCAGAAGGUGAAGUCAAGAGUUAUGAAGUACAAUAGGCUGUGAAGCCACUCCUAGGAAACAAAACCAAAGAUUGAUUAAGCAAAGUUCCUUACACAGAGAUUUGUAGACCUUGUAACAAUUCCUCCAUGGGAUUUCAGAACUUCUGUGAACCAGUGAUUGCUGGAUUUCCCCCCACCCUUUUUCCCCUUUCUAAAUGAGAGUUUUUGUUGUGAUUACACUAGUUUAUUAUGGGUGUGAAGGUAUGUAUUUUAUCACAGGUAGGUACAAAUAACAAGUGUUUUAUUUCAUAGUACUUGGCUCAAUAGAGCUAUAUUUGGGCAUGAUAUAAACUCAAGAUCCUGAAUUUCAAGCUAGAGGUUUAGAUCAGACCUUGGAGUAUCUUUAGGAUCUGGUGAUUACAUUUUGUUUACAAAAAGGAAGUGGAUAUUUGUGAGAGCAGGCUGUGGUAGGUUACAUUACUUCACAAAUAUUUAUUCCCUCCAUAGCCUUGCCAUGCUUCUCUGUGAGACAGUCUAUUUUCCUUUCCACGGACUUAGGCCUGUGUGAUAUUACUUUCUUUAACAAAUAAAUUGCCUCAGUAGAAGUUUUAAAUGUGCUUGCAAAUGUGACAUACCUUGUGCAUGGUUUGGUACCCAGUUCCGAUGUUUCCCUCCAAAAUAAGAAUAGCAUGUCCAAGAUAUUAGCUUACUCCUUUGAAAAGAUACUUUUCAUAGAGCCAAGGUUUAGCUCAACCAAACUCAGCAGAGCCUCCACCGUCAUGAACUUAGGCAAUCAAUACACA